AACCACACGGAAGAGCCAAAAAGUACUAUUGAGGAAUACAAACGCAAAAGCAGCAGCAGUAACAACAACAGAAAACAGUUUUGUUAGAUAAAUGGCCUUGGGCAAAAGUCUUUAUAACUGCAAUCACAUAAGUUAGUGGAAACAGUGUCAGGCUUUCCCAGAUGGAAACAAUUAGUGAGGUAAAAUUUUAGUGCUGUUUAAAUGAAUGCGUUGUGUUUGUUAUUCAUUUAAAAAUAUGAACAUAAAGUUAUGACUCAUGACAAACUGGCAAGAGAGUUGAUAACACAGAUCUGUCCAAAUAUGAGGGAAACUAUAUUCCUUUGUAGGCCUACUGUGUAGCAUUAAUAGAAUUAUUCACCCAGUGUUUAUUCACAAGAUUGACCGAAGCUUAUUUAGAUGACCAAAUUAUGAACAUUGUGACCCACCCUGAGGCUGUAAGAGUGUGCCUGAUGAGAGAAUGCGUACUUGAAGCAGUUAUAGGACUUAAUAUAUUCAAGAAGACCAAGCGAUCCUUAUAGGACUACAUGCAAAGCAAUGUACUCCAGACCGCACAACUGGACAUACAGAUUGUGCCCUGAUGCCAUCUGCCCCGUUCUCCCAGCCUCAUCUUCCCUCUCUAUGCCUAGCUUCACAUUGGUUGGCUCUUCUUUGGCUCUCUUCAUCCCAUCUGCCUGCCUCGCUGCUCUCCCUGAUAACAUUUCCUGACUGAUGCCUUGCACUCUGACUCUUUCUGCAAGGUGCCAUUCUGAGCAGUGACUCAAUUUAGUGCCACCCUGCUGCUUGGCAUUGCACUUCUGAGGUCAUCACCAUCUUUCUUCAGCCAACCAAAAUGAUUCUCACCAACCACCCCAGCUCUGCUAAGCUUGAUGUUGGAGGUCUGCUGUUUUUGAAGCAGGGGACCACUGUCCAUUAAAGGCUUCAUAAACCAUUUAACAAAAUCACAUAAGAUAGGGUAGUUCAUACUCCAUGCGAUGUGCCAUACAAUGGAAGGGCCAUGUUCCUUAUCACAUCUGGAUACUGCAAAGCUCCUGUCAUCUCAACAAUUUACGAACUAAUCAAUUAUUAAAUGAAGAAAUGCUAUGUAAAAGCAAAGAUAUUUCUUCCUGUGGAAUUUGAGUCUUAAAUUUAGUAAUUACUGUUUUAUGGCAUAAAUAAAAGUUAAAUAUUAUAUUAUUUUAAAAGCAUCAUGUAUCUUUUUUCAUUCCUAAUGUAUUCUACUAGUAGUGUGUCAGGCACUUUAACCCUUAUGAAAAAAGCCAAGGAAAAUAGAG
Misgurnus anguillicaudatus (oriental weatherfish) is the source of this 1271-nucleotide non-coding RNA. The record is from RefSeq and is a predicted model, not a curated record. Lineage: Eukaryota; Metazoa; Chordata; Actinopteri; Cypriniformes; Cobitidae.